Molecule: ribosomal RNA, 440 nt
Filed under: uncultured bacterium
Lineage: Bacteria
Description: partial 16S ribosomal RNA
Rfam family: Bacterial small subunit ribosomal RNA
Source: RNAcentral
CCUACGGGUGGCAGCAGUGGGGAAUAUUGCACAAUGGGGGAAACCCUGAUGCAGCGACGCCGCGUGAGCGAGGAAGUAUUUCGGUAUGUAAAGCUCUAUCAGCAGGGACGAAAAAAGACGGUACCUGACUAAGAAGCCCCGGCUAACUACGUGCCAGCAGCCGCGGUAAUACGUAGGGGGCAAGCGUUAUCCGGAUUUACUGGGUGUAAAGGGAGCGUAGACGGCAAGGCAAGCCAGAAGUGAAAGGGCAGGGAUCAACCCUGUACAUGCUUUUGGAACGGUGGUGCUAGAGUGCAGGAGAGGUAAGUGGAAUUCCUAGUGUAGCGGUGAAAUGCGUAGAUAUUAGGAGGAACACCAGUGGCGAAGGCGGCUUACGGGACUGUAACUGACGUUGAGGCUCGAAAGCGUGGGGAGCAAACAGGAUUAGAUACCCAGUAGUC